UGUCUUUCAAACAAUGUGCAACCAACUUUACAGAUAAAUUUGACAUCUAAAAAUCUCAGCAGACUUUGAACAAAAAAAAAGAAUUCUCAGUAAACAAGUAUUUCUACCUCUUUUUUAACCACGUAUAAUUUUGAGUUUUCCUACAUGAUUUAUCCCUUCUAAUGACUGACUGCGUUUUUAUUAUUCCUUUUUAAAUUGUUUUGUCUUUACAAAAAGCUAUGCUAUUUCUGUUCUAAUUUUAUUUUCUGAUUACAUCGUCACUUUUAAUUUUCUUUACAUUUAAAAACCGUAGUGUGCUCCAUCUUCUCUCUUGAUUUCCGACUAAGCUUGUGCAAUCUGACCGACGUCGGCGGAUUUCCUUAGCCACGACGUCAGUCGAACUUUUUGUUUUGAUGAUCCUUGUUCCGAUGUUUUCUCCGGUUCCGGUGUUAUCCGAUCGGCUUUGAUUCCAGCAACAUGCCUUACCUUCGGUGGUCGUUUGGCUUUUGUCUAUGCGUCUUUGCUUUCUUCUCCGGUGAUGGGCGGCCGGUUUUGAUUCUGAUUUACAUCAUGUUUCCUGUUUUGUGUGACUCUCGUGUCUUCGAUUGAUGGCUUCGUUCUUCGGAUGAUAUCUCGACCCGAGUUGAUUGAAGCUCUUCGUUGAAGGGGCUCAUGCGGUGAAGAAGUAAAAGGUGGUUUGUGGAUUUUAAAUUCAUCAGUGGUGAUUAGGGUGGCUUUGAAUGAGAUCUCGAGAUAGUUCGAUGGACGCUCUUCUUUGGAAAGAACUCAGGCGAAAAAUAUGUGUGAGGUGGCUUGGCUCCAGUGUGUUCCAGAAAAACACGAUUUCGUUUUGACUCGUAGGCUUAGGUAAGAUGGGGUGGCUUUGUGACGCGUGUUUCUUUGUUGGUGAGGGUUUUAAUACGUGUACGUCCAUGCGAAAUUCUCGACGUGUGGUAACGUGUGGCGCCAAUCGGGUCUUGUAUGUUUGAGCUUAAAACUCAAGUGGUAUCUUUAGUAUUGCCUUUUGUUUGGGUUUUAUGUAAAACAUUUUGGGCUUUUACUUUGGGUUUUUACCCAUUAAUAAAUAAUAGAUGGCAAAAAAAAAAAAUUUCCUUUACGUGUUUUCAGUUUUGUUGUAUGGCUCCUUCCUUUUUUUUGUGCAACAUAAAAACUUUGUUAAAAAGUUUAAAGAGGUUCAAUAAAUGGGAUUACAAGAGACUUGUGUGCCAGUGCUUUAGCCAUGAUUAGAGGUAUACAUAUCAUUUAACAAAGUUUUUAUGUUGUGUGAAGCAAGGCUCCUCUAAUCGCCAGUGCUUUAGCCAUGAUCGGUGAGGAGACUUGAUCUAGCGAAAUCGAUUUGUGAUGAAGCUCGGUUUCAAAGUGAUCAGAGAAAAUCCAGGCUAGGCCUACUGAACCAGACUUCCAAGACGCAUCAGUGUUGCAAUAAGUGAAUUGUGCAGAGGUCACCAGAGAUCGAGGCAAGCGAGUUAAAGGUGGCAUCUUUAAGGCAGCUAGAGGUUGAUUGGUUUAGGCUUUUCCCAUUCAUUCAUUGCACAGAUAGCCUGAAGCAGAAUUUCUUGAGGGGUAGAUAAUCGGUUCUCAAAUAGGAGUUUAUUUCUUGAGAUCCAGAGAUUCCAGCAAAUUCAAAGGAACAAGUCACCUACGACGCCCACUGAAGGUAGCAUUUUCCAGAGAAAAAUUUCAGUUUUAGCAGAAGAGGCGGAUUAUUUACUUAAUGUUUAAAUCAUGUAAAUUCAAUAUUAUUAAUUAUAUGUAAUUGAUGCCCGAAUAUAAGUUUUUUUUAAUUUCCCAUUUUGUAACAUUUAUUUCCCCGAAUAUAAGUUUUUUAUCCUCACAUGAUGGUAAUCAUUUGUUAAAUUAUAUAUAUACUGGUAUAC
Molecule: long non-coding RNA, 1877 nt
Filed under: Brassica napus (rape)
Lineage: Eukaryota; Viridiplantae; Streptophyta; Magnoliopsida; Brassicales; Brassicaceae
Description: long non-coding RNA (BNAP_LNC006325)
Source: RNAcentral